UGUGUUGUUCUAAAAAGUCACAGAUUCAGGUCUAGAAGCCCAUGGUUUGGGUAUUGCUCUGGGGGAGCUACGCUGUGUUCAGAGAGGUCAGAAGUGCACUUCAGUUUCUGCAGAGCUAAAAGUGAGUCUAUAAAAUGUCAAGAGGAGAAAUUUAUCCUUGUCUUGCAUGUCCUCUUACUUAUUACAUUUCUCAUAUAAUUCUGCACAUACCUGUGCUUGUAAGCUUAGUUUUGCAAUUUUCGCAUCUCAUCAGAGGCUCACACACAUGCUGUUUUAGAAGCAUAGAAUGAAACAUAAUGGGAAAGGACUUAUCUCUUAGUUUAGGGAGAAAUUUAUUCUCCUAGUCUAUUUAUAUUGAAUUAAGCUCUGUUAUUACUCUGUCUUCUCUAUUGAUUACCUUCUCGAGUAUGUUUAGAGUGAGCAAUUGCCAUGAUCUUCUAAAUUGCUGACAUUUGAAAAGAGGGAAUUCAAACACCUUCAUUUUAAGUUUUUUUUUUCUUAAAUAUAUUUACCAAAUUCUGUAAUUUAUCCAUUAUCCACCCCUUAGGUUCAUCUGUCUAUACGUAACUGCGCCUGCUUGCAUUGUGUGUGAUAACAACACUGCGACGUGGUUUUCUUCACUGUAGGCAAAAAAUCGGCAGCUGAUAAAAGAAUCUGUCAGACUUCUGCAGAAAGAACAUACAAUUUCUGGAUUAUGACAACUUUCUAGAGCAUCACUGCCAGUAUUUUAUCACUUCAAGAUUUCUCUGCUUGUGUAGUUAAGCAGAUCUUGAUAAGGUUUGUCUGGAAUUCUGUUUCUUAAUGACUCUAAAUAACAUUACUCCUUGAAAUCAUGUUAUCCAUGUGCCAUAAUAUCCAAUUUUUUUUCUGUGCAUAUGGAAGGUAAAUGCCAAGCACGUAUGCAGUCUAGUUUUACUGGUUUUUAUCUUAAGCUUUGAACAUUAUAUUGUUCUUAGAAUCUAGAAAGCAGGACAAAUAAUUUUACAUUCUGCUUUUUGGUGGGUUGAUGUGUUCCUCUUUAUUCAAAAUUAGUUUAUUUUCACCAGGUUUUGGCUCUGCCGAAUUGUUUAUGCUUAAGUAUGGAGUGAGACCCUUGGAGGUAGUCACUAAUCUCCAUGCGUUCGUGUAACAGAGUUAUUAUAACACAUUGCACAGGGUACAUGCAUGGGUACCUUCAGUCACUAAGGGGAGCUAUUUUGUAACAGAAGUGAGUUACAAGAAGGGAAAAAUGGAGCCGACUUGAUGCCAAGAGAAAAACUGACUGAUCGAGCAUUUUUUUCCCUGAAAAUUUAUCUUACAUUGAGGUCCCAUUGGUAUUUAGAAGCCAGUGGUCCCUUUACAUUGGAGCAAGGCAGCAUAGCAGGCAGAGCUCACAGGGGGUACACCUAACUUGUGUAAGGCCAGGUCCCCCACUGUUAACUUCACAUCACUUUGGAAAAGGCUUCUGACCUGCUUCUCUUAUGAACAGCAACAUAAGUUCAUGCCUGAACUUUUUCUUUGCACCUUGUCUAGAUAUUUAUACCUGUGAACAGGGAGUGCUGAGCUGCCACCAAGAAAAAAAAAAAGAACACUUAUUUGGGAGAAUUUCAUACUCACUUAGUGCAGGCAGAAAUGAAGACUUAAAAGCUGUGGCAAAGGAGAGUAAGACCUGGAGACUGUCUUGAGCUCUGUGAAAAUUAUCAGACAGAAUCCUUCCCCAUCGCAGAGCACUUCUGGCAUGUCAUUGGUUUGGUCAAUGACUUGGAAAGCAGUUCAGCGGGCAGUACAACUGAAAUGGCAGCUUCUAUUGAUGGAAGAUGACACAGGAGAUAAGGAAGAGAAGAGAAAGGAGCAGGCUGAGGAAGAGAAAUCAUUCACGAUUGAAGAUGGGGAGGAAAAACAAACAGCACCUGCUGAAUGCUGGGGGGGCAGUACUCAGACCGUGGCAUUCACUAGCUGGUGCAAGAACAGACCCAAACGGAGGUGCAUUGAGAUCUACUGACAAUAACCUUUUCAUCAAACAUGAGGAGCUGCAUGUCUUUUUGCUUCAAAUGGUCUUAUCCUUAGGCAAUGGUGACGUUAAUGAGGCCUGUGGAUAUGACAGGAGAGAGGACACUGCAGAUUCUUCAGGACCAAGACUUGGAGACUUCAUGAAAACUGUUUUUAAAGAUGCUUUGUAUGAGCCAAGUGUUCAGGUGUGGUGCUCAGCGAAGGCAGUAGUUGCUGCUCAGGGAAGUUAAAACACUGCUGUGCUUCUUCACCGUGGAGAAAGAAUAGUGUGAGGAAA
Molecule: long non-coding RNA, 2266 nt
Organism: Oxyura jamaicensis (ruddy duck)
Lineage: Eukaryota; Metazoa; Chordata; Aves; Anseriformes; Anatidae
Exons: 6
Source: RefSeq, a predicted model, not a curated record